Molecule: transfer RNA, 70 nt
Filed under: Cavia porcellus (domestic guinea pig)
Lineage: Eukaryota; Metazoa; Chordata; Mammalia; Rodentia; Caviidae
Rfam family: tRNA
About the family: Transfer RNA (tRNA) molecules are approximately 80 nucleotides in length. Their secondary structure includes four short double-helical elements and three loops (D, anti-codon, and T loops).
Source: Rfam by way of RNAcentral
GUGUUUAGCUUAGUGGCCUGAGCACCUGUCUGGUAAGCACGAGGUCAUGAGUUCGAUCCUUGUUAACACA